Molecule: ribosomal RNA, 466 nt
Filed under: Vreelandella stevensii
Lineage: Bacteria; Pseudomonadati; Pseudomonadota; Gammaproteobacteria; Oceanospirillales; Halomonadaceae
Description: partial 16S ribosomal RNA
Rfam family: Bacterial small subunit ribosomal RNA
Source: RNAcentral
CCUACGGGUGGGCAGCAGUGGGGAAUAUUGGACAAUGGGCGAAAGCCUGAUCCAGCCAUGCCGCGUGUGUGAAGAAGGCCUUCGGGUUGUAAAGCACUUUCAGUGGGGAAGAAAGCCUUGGGGCUAAUACCCUCGAGGAAGGACAUCACCCACAGAAGAAGCACCGGCUAACUCCGUGCCAGCAGCCGCGGUAAUACGGAGGGUGCGAGCGUUAAUCGGAAUUACUGGGCGUAAAGCGCGCGUAGGCGGUCUGAUAAGCCGGUUGUGAAAGCCCCGGGCUCAACCUGGGAACGGCAUCCGGAACUGUCAGGCUAGAGUGCAGGAGAGGAAGGUAGAAUUCCCGGUGUAGCGGUGAAAUGCGUAGAGAUCGGGAGGAAUACCAGUGGCGAAGGCGGCCUUCUGGACUGACACUGACGCUGAGGUGCGAAAGCGUGGGUAGCAAACAGGAUUAGAUACCCUUGUAGUC